UACGUAGGGGGCAAGCGUUGUCCGGAUUUAUUGGGCGUAAAGAGCGUGUAGGCGGCCACACAGGUCUGCUGUGAAAACUCGAGGCUCAACCUCGAGCUGUCGGUGGAAACCGUGUGGCUAGAGUCCGGAAGAGGCGAGUGGAAUUCCUGGUGUAGCGGUGAAAUGCGCAGAUAUCAGGAGGAACACCGAUGGCGAAGGCAGCUCGCUGGGACGGUACUGACGCUGAGGCGCGAAAGCGUGGGGAGCAAACAGG
This 253-nucleotide ribosomal RNA is filed under the name uncultured bacterium. RNAcentral describes it as "partial 16S ribosomal RNA". It matches the Rfam family "Bacterial small subunit ribosomal RNA", at positions 524 to 776 of the family's 1533-position model. The record is from RNAcentral.